Molecule: transfer RNA, 72 nt
Filed under: Crassvirales sp.
Lineage: Duplodnaviria; Heunggongvirae; Uroviricota; Caudoviricetes; Crassvirales
Description: tRNA-Asn
Rfam family: tRNA
About the family: Transfer RNA (tRNA) molecules are approximately 80 nucleotides in length. Their secondary structure includes four short double-helical elements and three loops (D, anti-codon, and T loops). Further hydrogen bonds mediate the characteristic L-shaped molecular structure. tRNAs have two regions of fundamental functional importance: the anti-codon, which is responsible for specific mRNA codon recognition, and the 3' end, to which the tRNAs corresponding amino acid is attached (by aminoacyl-tRNA synthetases). tRNAs cope with the degeneracy of the genetic code in two manners: having more than one tRNA (with a specific anti-codon) for a particular amino acid; and 'wobble' base-pairing, i.e. permitting non-standard base-pairing at the 3rd anti-codon position.
Source: RNAcentral
UGGGAUAUAGCUCAAAGGCAGAGCAUUUGACUGUUAAUCAAAAGGUUGAGGUAUCGUAAUCCUCUAUCCCAG